This 505-nucleotide ribosomal RNA is filed under the name uncultured Glomus. RNAcentral describes it as "SSU rRNA". It matches the Rfam family "Eukaryotic small subunit ribosomal RNA", at positions 569 to 1078 of the family's 1831-position model. The record is from RNAcentral. Lineage: Eukaryota; Fungi; Glomeromycota; Glomeromycetes; Glomerales; Glomeraceae.
AGCAGCCGCGGUAAUUCCAGCUCCAAUAGCGUAUAUUAAAGUUGUUGCAGUUAAAAAGCUCGUAGUUGAAUUUCGGGAUUAGUACGUUGGUCGUGCCUUCGGUACGUACUGGUGUUACUGGUUCCUACCUUCUGACGAACCAUCAUGUCAUUAAUUUGGUGUGGCGGGGAAUCAGGACUGUUACUUUGAAAAAAUUAGAGUGUUUAAAGCAGGCUCGCGCUUGAAUACAUUAGCAUGGAAUAAUGAAAUAGGACGUUGACCCUAUUUUGUUGGUUUCUAGGAUUGACGUAAUGAUUAAUAGGGAUAGUUGGGGGCAUUAGUAUUCAAUUGUCAGAGGUGAAAUUCUUGGAUUUAUUGAAGACUAGCUACUGCGAAAGCAUUUGCCAAGGAUGUUUUCAUUAAUCAAGAACGAAAGUUAGGGGAUCGAAGACGAUCAGAUACCGUCGUAGUCUUAACCAUAAACUAUGCCGACUAGGGAUCGGAUGAUGUUAUUUUUAAUGACUCA